CCCUUAGAUGUUCUGGGCCGCACGCGCGCUACACUGAUGCGUUCAACGAGUAUACAACCUUGAUCGAUAGGUCUGGGUAAUCUUGUGAAUGCGCAUCGUGCUAGGGAUAGAUUGUUGCAAUUUUCAAUCUUGAACGAGGAAUUCCUAGUAAACGCAAGUCAUCAGCUUGCAUUGAUUACGUCCCUGCCCUUUGUACACACCGCCCGUCGCUACUGCCAACUGAGAUGGGUCCUGAAUUGUUAGGAACGCCCGUCAAGGGGCCUACCCGGUCCCUAGUGCGGUGACGAGAAUAACUGUAAAUGGCAUAUCUUGUAGGGAGUAAAAGUCGUAACA
Molecule: ribosomal RNA, 333 nt
Filed under: uncultured eukaryote
Lineage: Eukaryota
Description: partial 18S ribosomal RNA
Rfam family: Eukaryotic small subunit ribosomal RNA
Source: RNAcentral